Molecule: transfer RNA, 85 nt
Filed under: bacterium
Lineage: Bacteria
Description: tRNA-Leu
Rfam family: tRNA
About the family: Transfer RNA (tRNA) molecules are approximately 80 nucleotides in length. Their secondary structure includes four short double-helical elements and three loops (D, anti-codon, and T loops). Further hydrogen bonds mediate the characteristic L-shaped molecular structure. tRNAs have two regions of fundamental functional importance: the anti-codon, which is responsible for specific mRNA codon recognition, and the 3' end, to which the tRNAs corresponding amino acid is attached (by aminoacyl-tRNA synthetases). tRNAs cope with the degeneracy of the genetic code in two manners: having more than one tRNA (with a specific anti-codon) for a particular amino acid; and 'wobble' base-pairing, i.e. permitting non-standard base-pairing at the 3rd anti-codon position.
Source: RNAcentral
GCCGCCGUGGCGGAACUGGUAGACGCGCACGACUCAAAAUCGUGUGAGGCAACUCGUGUCGGUUCGACUCCGACCGGCGGCACCA